This 255-nucleotide ribosomal RNA is filed under the name uncultured bacterium. RNAcentral describes it as "partial 16S ribosomal RNA". It matches the Rfam family "Bacterial small subunit ribosomal RNA", at positions 524 to 776 of the family's 1533-position model. The record is from RNAcentral.
UACAGAGGGUGCGAGCGUUGUUCGGAAUUACUGGGCGUAAAGCGCGCGCAGGCGGCCCUUUAAGUCUACCCGUGAAAUGCCGUAGCUCAGCUCCGUGCACGCCGGGGGAUACUGGGGGGCUGGAGACAGGUAGAGGCAAGCGGAAUUCCGGGUGUAGCGGUGGAAUGCGUAGAUAUCCGGAAGAACACCUGAGGCGAAGGCGGCUUGCUGGGCCUGAUCUGACGCUGAGGCGCGAAAGCGUGGGGAGCAAACAGG